CUACGGGUUGCUGCAGUGAGGAAUAUUGCACAAUGGGGGGAACCCUGAUGCAGCAACGCCGCGUGGAGGAUGACGCAUUUCGGUGUGUAAACUCCUUUUAUAUGUCAAGAAAAUGACGGUAGCAUAUGAAUAAGCACCGGCUAACUCCGUACCAGCAGCCGCGGUAAUACGGAGGGUGCAAGCGUUACUCGGAAUCACUGGGCGUAAAGGACGCGUAGGCGGGUUGGAAAGUCAGGUGUGAAAUCCUACAGCUUAACUGUAGAACUGCACUUGAAACUUCUAAUCUAGAGUAUGGGAGGGGGAGAUGGAAUUAGUGGUGUAGGGGUAAAUUCCGUAGAUAUCACUAGGAAUACCUAAAGCGAAGGCGAUCUCCUGGAACAUUACUGACGCUAAGGCGUGAAAGCGUGGGGAGCAAACAGGAUUAGAUACCCGUGUAGUC
Molecule: ribosomal RNA, 439 nt
Filed under: uncultured bacterium
Lineage: Bacteria
Description: partial 16S ribosomal RNA
Rfam family: Bacterial small subunit ribosomal RNA
Source: RNAcentral